AUUGAACGCUGGCGGCAUGCCUUACACAUGCAAGUCGAACGGCAGCACGGGGCAACCUGGUGGCGAGUGGCGAACGGGUGAGUAAUGCAUCGGAACGUGCCAUUGAGUGGGGGAUAACGUAGCGAAAGUUGCGCUAAUACCGCAUAUUCUGUGAGCAGGAAAGCAGGGGGACCGCAAGGCCUUGCGCUCUUUGAGCGGCCGAUGUCAGAUUAGCUAGUUGGUGAGGUAACGGCUUACCAAGGCGACGAUCUGUAGCGGGUCUGAGAGGAUGAUCCGCCACACUGGAACUGAGACACGGUCCAGACUCCUACGGGAGGCAGCAGUGGGGAAUUUUGGACAAUGGGCGCAAGCCUGAUCCAGCCAUGCCGCGUGAGUGAAGAAGGCCUCGGGUUGUAAAGCUCUUUCGGCCGGGAAGAAAGUCGCAUGGGUUAAUACCCUGUGUGGAUGACGGUACCGGAAUAAGAAGCACCGGCUAACUACGUG
This 483-nucleotide ribosomal RNA is filed under the name uncultured bacterium. RNAcentral describes it as "bacterial SSU rRNA". It matches the Rfam family "Bacterial small subunit ribosomal RNA", at positions 30 to 507 of the family's 1533-position model. The record is from RNAcentral.